Molecule: unclassified non-coding RNA, 256 nt
Filed under: Hevea brasiliensis (rubber tree)
Lineage: Eukaryota; Viridiplantae; Streptophyta; Magnoliopsida; Malpighiales; Euphorbiaceae
Source: RNAcentral
GUUUUUCUUGUAUUUAAUUUAAUCUUAUAUAUCUGUGCAAGGCUGUUUCUUGCUUUUUGUUGUCUUUUCUCUAUUGGUUAAGAGUCUAAGCUAGUUUCUUUCUUUUUGAAUUAAUGAAUAUGAAGGGAAAAGUUGGAAAUUAUUUGGAAUUUGGUAUAAUUUUUUUAUUAACAAUUAGCCCAAAACUUAUGUUUCAAUCUGAUUUUGUUUUGUGUUUUUGCAGACCAUUUACAUCUUAUAUUUUGUAUGCUUUUAU